UUAGUAGCUGCUUGUGCAGUUGAUGCACACGGUUUUGUAUUUCCAGUUGCCUACGAUGUGCUGGAGACAGAGUCUGGGGAGAGCUGGACUUGGUUUUUGCAUAAUCUGCGCCGGGCUAUUGCACAUCCCAAUGGGUUGGUCAUUCAUACAGAUGCCUGCAAAGGUUUAGAAGUGGUCGUGGACAAUGUGUUCCCUGGAGUAGAGCAUAGGGAAUGCAUGCGUCACCUUGCUGCAAAUUUCAUGAAGAAAUUCAAAGGAAAGGUGUAUACUGACAAUUUAUGGCCAGCAUCUUUGACUUGCAGUGUGAAGAAGCACAACUACCACUUGAGGCAGUUAUACAUGAAUCCCAAAGUGAAAGAAUACUUGGAAACACACCACUCCAAGUUAUGGGCCAGAAGCCAAUUCAGUGAACUGAGCAAAGUUGACUAUGUGCACAAUAAUCUAGCAUAG
RNAcentral lists this ribosomal RNA (450 nucleotides) under Triticum aestivum (bread wheat). Its description in RNAcentral is "partial small subunit ribosomal RNA". Lineage: Eukaryota; Viridiplantae; Streptophyta; Magnoliopsida; Poales; Poaceae. The record is from RNAcentral.